Molecule: long non-coding RNA, 2968 nt
Organism: Macaca fascicularis (crab-eating macaque)
Lineage: Eukaryota; Metazoa; Chordata; Mammalia; Primates; Cercopithecidae
Source: Ensembl
GCAAGGCAAAGCAUCACAAAACAGUCUCAUCCACAACUUCAGUGACACUAGGUGCCAAUAGCUUAUUGGCAGGGACUCGGAAAUGCUGGUCCCCAUGGAAGUGGGCUGGUUCUGUCUGAGUCUUUCAACAAGACCUUUCUAUCAAAGGAUUGGGGUCUGGAGAAGUUUGAGGGGGGUAGGCACAGAGAGCAGAGGGAAAGAAGGGAGUGACAAGACCAAAUGCCCUGCUUUUCAGGACAUGUGAGUUUCCAGAACAGCUCCCCAGCUGCAGACACUCAAUAAAUCCUUCUCAGGCCAUGUAGUUUAUUUUCUAUGAAGCCAAAUUAACCUUCAGUGUGAUCCAGCGUAGGGACAAAGCCUUAGCAAUAGCGGCAAAUAGCAAGAGAAAGAUGCUGUGAUCCUGCGUGGAUAAUAACCGUAUUCACACGCUUGAAUGAAGAGCAGCAUUGCAUCAGCUUUUUGGUCUGGAGGUGUCCAGGACCAGCAGUGCUCAUGGCCAUCUCUGUGUAAGCAGAUUCCCCUAGGCACAGGAAAGGACAGCUCUCUCCCAUUCCCAGUGUUUGGCCCAGUGAAGCUAAAACCACACUCCACACAGGGAAAGUCUGUUAUCUGAGAGGAAGCUUCCUUCUGGGACUCCAACAUCUCUUCCAGAUCUGCCUCCGAGAAGAGCAAGGCCGCGGUGUGCACUGUGGAUCCACUAAGCAAGGCCAGCACCACCCGCCUGACGAGCCUCAGAAGAGCAGCCAGUGCCUGGGCUCUGGGAGCCGCCCUUGGAUAUCACGACCGUGGGUCUCAACAACAGCGAUGGGAGCGCAGGGCGGUGGAGGCACCUCCCCCGCAGCCUGUACGGCACCGCAAGGCCAACAACCAGUGUCCGGCGGAUUUCCCUGCGUGGUAUUGAUUUCUGGAACCCUGGAUGCUUGGUCAGAUGAAGAUGGGAGGGGACUGAUUGCUAUUUCCCAGGUGCGAAGGGUGGCCAAGGAGAAGAGGAAGUGAUCCUACUGGGCUUUUCGGGGACAGGACUGUGACAUCAGGAAGCAGAUUUUGGAAAAGGAAGAAAGAACUUCCCAAUCAUUAGGCUGCCUGAGAAAGGAAUGGGCUGCCUUGUGAGGCAGCAUUCCCUGUUGUAAGAGGUAUUUAAGCAAAGGUUCCAUGAAUCGUCUGCACAGACGGUCUGCCUCAGGCACAGGGGCUUGAGCGGAUGCUGGAGCCCCUCCCACACAGGCCACUGGGAUUCUCUCUUUGAAGCCUCCACAGAACUGCUGUGAGUCUCCUGGAACUGCCCUAACAGCGUUCCACCAACUGGGUGGCUUCAGCAGCAGAAAUGAAUCGGCUUGCAAUCCUGGAGACGGGUCUAAGAUCAAGGUGGCUGCAGUGGUGCUGGUGAUUGCUGGUAGUCGCUGCCACUCCUUGGCUUAUACAAGCAUCACUCAGAUCUCUGCCUUCAUCUUCCCCUGGCAUUCUCUCUGUCUGUGUCUGUCUGCAAAUUUCCCCUUUUUAUAAGGACACCAGUCACAUGAAAUCAGGGCCCACCCUGAUGACCUCGUUUUAAUUUGAUUACCUCUAUAAAGAUCAUGUCUCCAAAUAAAGCCACAUUCUGAGGUAGUGGGGGUUAGGACAUCAACAUAUAAAUUCGGGGGAGACGCAAUUCAACUCAUGACAGAAGCUUUUCCGAUCAAGGCUAAGUCACCGCGUAUUGUUGACUUGUGUGUGGCUGUUUCAACAAUCCAGGAAAACAAAAUUGUUAAAACCUGAGGUGGCAGCAACACGAGGUAAACUUUUUCACGGGACUGCUACCACCCAUGAAAUGAGAAAGGCCUUCGUUUCCAAGCACCUCGCCCGAGUUCCAAGAAUUAAAGAUUCUCCUGCAGCUCACUGCAUAUGACAUGUGUGGCAGCUGAGAAACACACACUCACCGUCAGCGCUUCCCGAAUUCCACGGGAGCGCCUGGGAGGCAGCAUUCCCCUCCAUCCCCAGAGAACCUCCCUGUGCAGCUCACUGCCUGUGUGCAUGGCCUGCAGAGCCACACCCCACAUUCCCAUGGCGGCUUCACUGUCUGUCCUCCCACACUGGGUCCUCCAUCACACUCCUUCAUGCUUCGUGUGACAGCCGCCAAGAGACGAUGCCUUGACAUAGUGGGGUGUUUCUGCAAGCCUCCAUUUAAGUUAAACAAGGCCAGCUUAUGUGGGGUCUUGUUUUGACACUUGGUAGUGUGGGUCAUACUGGAUCCAGAAAAAAAGAUAUGUCUGCCUCCUAAGCACCCAUACCUGAAAAUGAGACCUUACCUGGAAAUGGGGUCUUUGCAAUGAAAUUCAGAUGAGGUCAUACUGGACUGAGGUGGGCCCUAUUGCAAUAAGAUUUUGUGUCCUUCUAAGAAGAGCAGAGACACAGAAACACACAGAAGAAGGCCAUGUGACGACAGAGGCAAAGACUGGAGCAACGCGUCCACAGGCCAAGGAACACCAAGGAUGGCCAGCAGCCCCAGAGCUGGGAGGGAGGCCUGGGGUGGCUCCCCUAGAAACUUCAGAGAGAGCAGGGCCCUGCUGACACCUCGCGUUUGGACUUCUAGCCUCCAGACGGGGAGAGAAUGGACUUCUGUUGUUUUAAGCCAUCUAGUGUGCAGGACUUUGUUAUAGCAGCGCUGGGAAACUAAUACAUUUAGGAUGAGGAUAUAGCGAGACGUUGUUGUAGUAAGAAUAGAUGAGGCCAGGCACAGUGGCUCACUCCUGUAAUCCUAGCACUUUGGGAAGCCGAGGCAGGCAGAUCACUUGAGGUCAGGAGUUCAAGAUCAGCCUGGCCAACGUGGUGAAACUCCGUCUCUACCAAAAAUAUAAAAAAUUAGCUGGGUGUGGUGGCAGGGACCUUGUAACCCCAGAUACGUGGGAGGCUGACACAGGAGAAUUGCUUGCAUGCCACUGCACUCCAGCCUGGGCAACAGAGCGAGACUAUGUCUAAAAAAAAAAAAAAA